CGGCCGCGGUACCCUGACCGUGCUAAGGUAGCAUAAUCCCUUGCCUCUUAAUUAGUGGCUAGUAUGAAUGGAUAAACGAAAAUUGAGCUGUCUCUAUAAAUUUCCUAAAAAUUGUCCUUUAAGCGAAGAGACUUAAAUAAGAAUAAAAGACAAGAAGACCCUGUAGAGCCUAAGCCAAACCCGUUAACAAAAAUAUAAAUAAAAAAUUUCUUCGGGCCGGCUUCAGUUGGGGCGACUAAAGAACACCUAAAGCUUCUUUACAAUCAACCAGGCAUAUCAGCCUAACUUAUGACCCAUAAAUUAUUGACCAAAAAACCAGGCUACCUCAGGGAUAACAGUCUAAUCUUCCUAGAGAGCCCAAAUUGACAGGAAGGAUUGGCACCUCGAUGUUGGCUUAGGGGCCCUUCAAGGCGCAGCCACCUUGAAAGUAGGUUUGUUCAACCUUUAAUACCCUACGUGAUC
RNAcentral lists this ribosomal RNA (462 nucleotides) under Aricidea cf. cerrutii pacifica JL-2018. RNAcentral's name for it is "partial large subunit ribosomal RNA". It matches the Rfam family "Bacterial large subunit ribosomal RNA", at positions 1928 to 2605 of the family's 2925-position model. Lineage: Eukaryota; Metazoa; Annelida; Polychaeta; Paraonidae. The record is from RNAcentral.